Molecule: ribosomal RNA, 429 nt
Filed under: uncultured Pseudomonas sp.
Lineage: Bacteria; Pseudomonadati; Pseudomonadota; Gammaproteobacteria; Pseudomonadales; Pseudomonadaceae
Description: bacterial SSU rRNA
Rfam family: Bacterial small subunit ribosomal RNA
Source: RNAcentral
UGGGGAAUAUUGGACAAUGGGCGAAAGCCUGAUCCAGCCAUGCCGCGUGUGUGAAGAAGGUCUUCGGAUUGUAAAGCACUUUAAGUUGGGAGGAAGGGCAGUUACCUAAUACGUGAUUGUUUUGACGUUACCGACAGAAUAAGCACCGGCUAACUCUGUGCCAGCAGCCGCGGUAAUACAGAGGGUGCAAGCGUUAAUCGGAAUUACUGGGCGUAAAGCGCGCGUAGGUGGUUUGUUAAGUUGGAUGUGAAAUCCCCGGGCUCAACCUGGGAACUGCAUUCAAAACUGACUGACUAGAGUGUGGUAGAGGGUGGUGGAAUUUCCUGUGUAGCGGUGAAAUGCGUUAGAUAUAGGAAGGAACACCAGUGGCGAAGGCGACCACCUGGACCAACACUGACACUGAGGUGCGAAAAGCGUGGGGAGCAAACA